CCCCGCCAGCGGGCUGCUCCGGGGCGCGGGGCUGGCGCGAUCCUCCCGGCUUGGCCCGGCCGCGCCGCUGCGCCGCGGCCCCUCGCGCCCUCCUUUUGGCUCCUCGCCCCAGAAAACCCAGCUGCCCCUCUCGGGUCUCUGCGGACCCGGUGCCGUCAACCUUUGACCCAUUGUGUCCCACAAGUAUUUCGCUAUCCCUAAACUCUGCGCGAACCAGCCGCCGCCCUCACGAACGUUUGACCACUUUUAACUAACAAGUGAAACGAGCAGAGGUUUCCGUGCUGCACCGAGAACUUUCCCUAGACCCUCUUCUGCACUCUCCAGGGCUACCCCAGCCGAUCACCCUCCGGAGCGCUCGGACCCUGACACCCGCGCGGAGGUAGGGGAGAACCAAACGGGGAUACCAGGUGGUUAGGUGUUGAGUGCUGGAAACAAGGAGUAAUUAACAUUGAGAUAAAAGGUGUCAUCUGAUGGCAAUGCUGGUUCUUGAGCUGAACUCUGACGUUUCGUAUGCCAAGGCAAAUGGAGUCAACUACAUCCAUAGUGUUGACUUCCUCACAGUGAACUGUUGACCUUUAAUUGUAACUUCAUGAUAAAAUUAAGUUAAGAUCUCUGGUAUUCAUUGCCCUAUUUCUUCGAUCCAACCCACACAUGAGUCCAUCUUCUCAGAGUGACAAAACACCAUCGGUUUUGUGUGACUCAUAUGCAAAACUAAAUGCUUUCAUCUGUGUGGUCUGCUGAUGGGAAAUAAAAUCAGAUAUUUCACUUCUAACUUCAUCAAGCAAGAGAAAAAUCUGUUGUGAUUCCAAGAAGAGACGAACUCAAUUGAAAUACCAUGUGGCAUCAAUUUGUUUGCAAGCGCAAAUCAAAUGGCAGUUUGGGUUCCUUCUGAUGAUCCAGAAUAUGCUGUAUUAAAUUUUUAAAGGUUAUCAGAGCAAAGAAAACUUAGCAUUCAAAAAAUUAAGAAACUACGUGAAUCCCAAGAAUAUAUCCAUAUACCCACAGAGGUCUUCAGAUACUUGGAUGAAAUCUGCUCAGGAACAUUAAAAAAUGCCAGUGUUUGCUUCAGUCACCAAUUGUGAGAGAAGACUAGAAAUAGAAUUUGUCAUGAAAUUUAAAACUUCACACACCACGUGCUGCUUCUUUUGAAGAAAAAAUGGAGAGCUGGUCGUCUCUCUGAAAUUCUGAUGUGGACUCUACCUUACAACUUUACAAGAAAAGAGGCAACGUGUGAAAUGGAGAUUGCAUAAUCUUGUCUUGAAACGAGAUUCAUCUGGAAGCUUCUAGCCUUCUCAGUAAAAUUCAAAUGAUAUUUAAAAAGUUAACAUGGCCCCCUGGCUUCCCCUUGGUCUGGGUCAAGGCUCCGGCAGCCCCUGCUCCCAGGGGGCGGGGCUGAGGACAUCCCGCGGCUGCUGGUGUGCUGGGCGGGUGACACGCACGAGCAAAUAAAUACUCCGAACGUAAUGAGAGCCAGAGACCAUUCUUGCAACUUUUCUGUAAAGUUUUAAAGUAGUUCAAAACAAAAAGAACAUAAAAAUGUUUAUGUGGGUAAGAAGAGCAAUUUCACCAGAAACAUAGCUUACUUUACAUUUCUUCCACGUAUGUAUGUGCUAUAUAUUAUUUUUUUGUUGUUCAUGUGUGCAUACAUUUAUAGGUAUAGUCUUUUUGUUUCAGUUUCUCUAAGAUUCUGAUACAUUCCAAAGCAAAAGAGAAAAACCUUACAAAGUGCUUCAGGAAGACAAUAAAAAGGAGGACUUCUGAACGUGUGUAAGAUUUAUUUCGCUUCUUAAUAGUUGUAAUGUAUUGGUCUAAAGGACCGUCAUGAUGAAUUUGAGUAUAUCAGAUUAGGAUACAGUAAAGAGAGAAAUGAAUUUAACUUUGUUCUGAUUUUUGAAAUAUCACUCAAUUAAAACUUUCUUUAAUAAAGAUGAGUGCAUUAGUUACAGCUGCCUGAGGGAAUGUCUGAUUUGGUUCCUGGCUAUUAAUGAAUGUUUUAUAUGGCUAUUUACUCCUCAAUAAAAUAAAAAGAGAUGUGUUCCCACAGCAACCCCAGAAGUAGACGUUAACUUUUUUCUUUUCUUCCUGAUGUAGAACUUAAUCUAAGCCCUAUAUUUCUCUUUCAAAUGAUCAGCCACAGAAU
Molecule: non-coding RNA, 2140 nt
Organism: Manis javanica (Malayan pangolin)
Lineage: Eukaryota; Metazoa; Chordata; Mammalia; Pholidota; Manidae
Source: RefSeq, a predicted model, not a curated record